CCUACGGGAGGCAGCAGUAGGGAAUCUUCCACAAUGGGCGAAAGCCUGAUGGAGCAACGCCGCGUGGGUGAAGAAGGUCUUCGGAUCGUAAAACCCUGUUGUUAGAGAAGAAAGUUCGUGAGAGUAACUGUUCACGUUUCGACGGUAUCUAACCAGAAAGCCACGGCUAACUACGUGCCAGCAGCCGCGGUAAUACGUAGGUGGCAAGCGUUAUCCGGAUUUAUUGGGCGUAAAGGGAACGCAGGCGGUCUUUUAAGUCUGAUGUGAAAGCCUUCGGCUUAACCGGAGUAGUGCAUUGGAAACUGGGAGACUUGAGUGCAGAAGAGGAGAGUGGAACUCCAUGUGUAGCGGUGAAAUGCGUAGAUAUAUGGAAGAACACCAGUGGCGAAGGCGGCUCUCUGGGCUGUAACUGACGCUGAGGUUCGAAAGCGUGGGUAGCAAACAGGAUUAGAUACCUUGGUAGUC
RNAcentral lists this ribosomal RNA (465 nucleotides) under uncultured bacterium. Its description in RNAcentral is "partial 16S ribosomal RNA". It matches the Rfam family "Bacterial small subunit ribosomal RNA", at positions 338 to 795 of the family's 1533-position model. The record is from RNAcentral.